AAUCACUAAAAAGCACCUAGACUUAUGGCUGUCGUUGAAUCACUGACGUGCUGUUGGGUGCUGGACCAGGAGGGGAGGCUGUUGUAAAUGUGCGCUCGUUUCUUUGUUCAAAUCUCUGUGUGUUGUGUAGAGUGAGUGGUCUAUGCACACAUGUAUGUGAGUGCAGACGUCCAUACACUCACAUGGUAAGGCUAACAGAGAACACUGGGCAUCUUCCUUCUCCAUCUCCUCUUUGUUCCCUUGAGACACCGUUUCUCACUGAACCUCAAGCUCGCCAUUUUGGUUCUACUGUGGGCCGGUGAGCUUCCGGGAUGCACCUGUCUCCACCCUGUAGUGCGGAACCAUGCCUAGCGUGUACAUGGGUGCUGGGGAUUUUAGCCUUAGCCCUCAUGCAUGUAGAGCAAGCACUUCAGUCACCACGUCAACUCUCCAGCCCAUAAACGUGUUAAUGACUCGCUCCCAGACUUUCUGGGAGAUUCUUCAUUGGCCCGUGUUUGAAUCUGUGCUGCUGAUUCCAUGAAGCAGAUUAGAAGGAGAACAGAGCCAAGUGCAUGUGCACUUGAGAUGAGGGGUGCUUGUGACUCUCAACGUGAGCUUGGAGUCCUUCCUCUGCCAUUUAUUAAGUGGCAAUGUGGCAGUAUUCACAGUAGAGUCGAAAAUCUCAUGCUGGACCCCAAACGGUGCUUUCCACGUGGAAGAAUAAUGUGCAAAGACAAGGAAGCACUUAGGAACUUUAUGGCAAUUUGACAGUCAUGAAACCUGAGUGCAAAAAAAUUCAUAUUUUACAAUAAUAUAAGUGACAGUUCGAGAAAUUAUUAAAAGCUCCAAUCUAUACUGUCCCAAAGCAUUUUACAUUUUUUCCCAGGGCAGACAUCUUAAGACUUUUAUAUGCAUUGUAAAAAGACACCACUUCAUGUUAUAAAGAGUUACAUUUAACAUAAAAAAUAAAAAUAUAUCGUGUCUAUCAGAAUUAUGAACACCUUAACUCAGCUUAAUCUGGUAGGGUGCAAGAAGGAAAGGUAUUUGAUGUUGGGUGAUCACGAGACCUAGGCAUGGUGAUUCACACGUGUCAUCCCAGCGCUUGGGAAGUGGAGGCAGGGGCAUCAGGAGUUCAGGAUCAUCUUUAGCUACAUAGAGACUUUAAGGACAGCCUGGGCUACUUGCAAACUUUCAUCCAAAAAUAGUAUUGCAUAUUAAUACAUAAAAAAUUAGGAUUGAAUGAAGAGCUGCACUACGAAAAAUUGUAAUGUAUGAGGAACUCUCUAAUGACUCUUGGUUACUUUAUUGCUCUUUAUCAUUAUACUGUCUCAGUGGAAAUAAGUACAUAUAUGUUACAUAUACAGGCACACAUAUGUAUAUUAAUUACUAUUCUGGGUCUCAACAGUUACUACCGUAGCUAAUCUGUGAUUGAAAUCCUUCAGGGGGUUUGGAGAUUUGGCUUCUAAACUCUGUAAAACAGAGUGACGUUACAUAGACAAGAAAAUGCGAGCAAACGGAGAGAUAUUUCGGUGGAGUACAUGGGGCUUUUACCUGAUUUGGUUGUUUGGAGAGAAUGAGGAAAAAACAGGAAGAACCUUCCUGAGGAUGCUUGGAUGAUGCAGAAAUUGCAAAGGCAAACCAUUGGUUAAUCAGUGUGUGUGUGUGUAUGUGUGUAUGUGUGUGUGCGUGUGCGUGUGUGCGUGUGUGUGUGUGUGUGUGUGUGAGAGAGAGAGAGAGAGAGAGACAGACAGACAGACAGACAGACAGACAGAGUAAGUAUUUAGUGAAGCCUGUGCCUUGACUUGGUUAGUUUCCAUUCAGAACAUCCCCUGGGAACUGACUACAUCACAAUCCACUUGGAGACAUAUGGUGUUGUUAAGAAAAGCAGUAACAGUUUUCUUCUCGGCAUGGAAGCUGUCUUUGCAUUUUAGGAGAAAUACUGUGGGCUUUUUUCUUCCCUUUUAGUAUAAAUAGACAUCUUAGGACAUUCUGCCCUGAACUGUCAUUGAAUAGAGGAGGCCUGUGUGCCUGUGUGUGUGCGUGUGUGUAUGUGUGUGUGUGUGUGUGUGUGUGUGUGUGCGCACGUGUGUGGUGUUCUUUAUUGAAACAGUCUCCUGAUGCAAUUUGGUGAGAUUGCCUGGUUAAUGUCUCCAGGGAUCCACUUGUCUCCCCCUUCUUGAGCUAGGAUUAUAGACACACACCACCAUGCAUGAUUUUUUACAUGCAUACUGGGUGUCUGACCUCAGGUCCUUGUACCUGCAUGGCAAGCUCUGUAUGGACUGAACCAUCUUCAGUCUCUCCAUUUUUCCUCACCUCAAUCCGAGUUUACCCAACAGAUGUCUACGUACACCAAAGGCAUUGGACUAGGUGUGAAUCACAUGACUAUGUUAAAAGGUUAAACAAUGGAAAACAGUCAUUAAUUAAAUUUUGAGCACAGAUUUUAACACUAUAGGCAUCUUCCUUGGAGAAUUCAAAGGCAUGCUAAAAUCCAUCUCGUCCGGACAGGUUUGGAAAUGUUUUGUUUGGUUUUUCCCGAAUGUACAGGUAAUUAAAACAAUUUAAUGCCAAAUACAAAGAGAGUACCAAAUGUCCCAGCAUCCUCCCUGUGUACACAGGCAGGGAUAAGCACCUUUUUAAUAUCAUAGCUACACCCAAUGGAAGCAUGCGGCAUAGCAAGAAUUUGCUUAUGAGUUUUUCGGCCCCUUGUUAUCUCAUGGGAGCAAGAAAACCAAAGCUUGGUUCAGUUACAAAACACUUAGAGAUGGAACUUCAUGCUUCAGAGGCCUUCUUUUGGUACAAGAGAAAUAAAUAUCCUAUGCUGGUCACUGGGAGUUCACAAAUUUGUUUUAUUUAUGCACAAUUCUGGAAGUCAGAUAGAGUUUCAUAAAAGCUUCAUAUGCUAACUGAAGAUGUUAAAACUCAGAUAUGUAGAUCUGAUGUGAAAGACAAGAGAACCUUGUAAGAGAUGGGUUUUCAGUCCGAUGGCAUGAUAGAAAAAUGUCCCCAUAGGAUACAAUGUGGAUACCGAGGCAGGUAGGAUCAGAUUGGGCCUGUGGUGCCUACUUGAACUGAUGCUUAUAGAUUUAUGUUGAUACAUUUGAAAUACUGCUUUCGAAACUCACAUUGUUUAAAAUGCUGUGUGCGUGUGGGUGUGCCUGUAUGUGUGCACACGAAUGAGUUGCCUUCAGGUCAUGGUGUACAUGAGUGGAGCGGGGGCAGUUUAGCAGACAGCCUCUGCAGUUAAGCCUUCCUUGCCUUCUAUCUUGUUUGACUGGGUCUCUUGUUUGUGGCCGUGUGGUCUAAACUAGCUAGGAUGUGAGGUUCUCGGUAUCCUGUCUCUCCCUCCCAUCAUGUUGUAGACAAAUUGUGACCUCAGACAUUCAUGCUACUCUAUUCUGUCUUCACGUGGGUUCUGGGGGUUUGAACUUGGGUCCUCACGCUUACAUGGUAAGCUCUUUACACAUGAGCCUGAUAGCCCAGAAACUCGUCUCUUAAUCAAGUUUUCUCUUCCCUUACAAAGUGUUCAAGGUUACUAGAAGCUAUUAUACAUAGGACAACCUCAGAUCCACCAGUGGUAUAAAUAACGACACAGAGGCUUAUUAAUGUUUUAAACCUAAGGCCUCUCAGCUUGAGCUACCUCUCAGCUAUCCUAACCUGACUAAUCCUGGCACCACGCCCUACCACAGGACCAGGUCUACCCCCCUGCUCCUUCUAUUUUCGUGUCUGCUGGCUGAAUCAUUGACCCUUGGUUCUUCUCCCAGAGGCCCUAUCUCUGCCCGGAAGUUCUGCCUUCCACUUCCUGUCCGGCGAUUGGCCAAUCAGAUACAAUCCUGGACUGCCUUAGGAAGGUAAGGAAGGAACAAAUUGUUACAAAAUAGGAGGCUGGUGAUGGACCUUUAGCCCUCUGCCAGUACAGAAUUAGCAACUGAGUUUACAGAGACCUUUACAUUGUAUAUCCAAACACGUAUAGCACAGGCAAGAGUGUCCUCAGUUUCUUUUACAAAAGAUUUAUUAUUUUGAUUUAUGUAUGUGUGUUUGCUAAUCUGUAUAUGCAGGUGUGUGUGUAUGUGGGGUGUGUGUGUGUGUGUGUGUGUCUGUCUGUCUGUCUGUCUGUCUGUCUGUCUGACAGAAGCAAGGGAAGUUGCUGGAUCCCUUAGUGUGGGAGUUACAAGGAACGGUGAGCCAACGUGAGUAUGAGGGUCUGAACUUAGGUCCUCUAGAAGAACAGUGCUUGUAAUCACUGAGCCUCUAUCUAGCCCGUUUCCUUUAAUUAACCAGUUUUCUAACUCUUUUCGACAGAACACUUGAGAGAGCCUGUCCUCCUGGUGGACACACUAAUAAUUUUUAAAAACAACAUUAAUUGAUCGACUUUACUUGAAACAAAACUAGGGCACACAACAAUGCAAAUUUGAAGAGCAGGAUGUAGAUGCCAAGUUUUGAUCAUCCCAGCUUUCUCCAUAUAGCUAGGCUCCUCCCAUUGAUUAAUAAAAUGUCUAAUGUGAGUGUAUUAUGCACUGUUUCAUUCACACCUAUUAGAGAAUCCCCAAAUGGCUCAAAUGGAUCAGGAAAAGGGAAGAAAAAUGGGGGUGGGGAAGCAGAUAAAGAUAGAUAUGUAUGGAUAGAUAAGUAUAAGUAUAGAUAAAUGAUAGAUGAUAGAUAGAUAGAUAGAUAGAUAGAUAUGAUAUGUAGAUAGGUGCUUGGUAGAUGAUAGACAUAUAUAGGAAGAUGAUAGGAAGGCAGAUAGCUGAUCAAUAUAAAUCUAGGUAGGUGGAUAGAUAGAUGCCAACAUCAAAUGAUAGAGCAUUAGGAUGCCUGGUCAAGGAAGCUAAAAAGAUUCAACAUCAUUGUGACCACUAACAUAGCAAGGUGAGGUCAGCCUCCCAUGUUGAACAGGGCCAGCCAUUUGAGCAUCACAUCAAUACUACUAGCAGAAAGAGAUCCCGCAAUACACACUCCUUCCCCUAAAGAGCAAAGAUAACAUAGUGUUCCAUAAAUGUUGCAUGUCCUAUGUAUCGAUCUCGAUGUUUCCUGGGCAAAAUAAAUGCUCAUUAGUUGCUUGCCUGCCUCACCCCAGAUAUGUCUCUGUCUUGUAAUGAAUUACACAGCUAUGUUGGGCAGCCCCCAAAGCAUUCCAUUUUCAAUGAGCUGGCAAAAGCAACACGAAGUUCCCAGAUACUCCAGGGUCCUGUAGGAUAUGAACUCAAAAGGGUCCCUUCCACAGAGGCCCUGGAGCGGUGUUGAGCCACAGUGUGGAAAGGCUUCCUUGUGUAAGGACACAUAUUGACGAGCACAAGCUGUGUGCUGCAUUGGAAGAAAAUGAAUCAUAUUCUACUCUCAGACGAGACUUCUGCCUGUGAGCACAUAUUUAUGUCGGCAAAGCUGUCUUUCUGGAGAGGACGGAUAAUCCAUUUCUUCUAUUAAGAUUUUCUUAUUCUUAGAUAAUUGCUCCUAAUCCCAACUGAACUCCGGGAGAUUCAGGAGAGCUGAAAGAGCUUGCCGUAUUACAGAAUCCUUUCCAUUUUAACAGGUUUGUCCACAACAGCAAUUUGGAUCAGCUAAGAAGCAGAGAAAUCCUGUCUUCAGUGACAUAAAACUCGUUUAUCCUUUAACUUCUUGACAUGUUGGCAUAGUAAAUUCAUUGUUUCAUUUUUCUUGAAAUAAGUAACAAUAUAAAUAACAAUGUGUCAAUUAUGAAUGUAUAGGAACACAAUUUUCUAAAGGUGUCUUUUCUUUCAUUAAAAGGGAAUAUGGAGCUGGUAGAUGGUUUAGUGCGCAAAGCUAAAUGAAUGACGAGCCCAUGGAUUUGAUCAUCAGGAGUUUACACACACACACACACACACACACACACACACACACACACACACACACACAAAGUCCAUUCAUAAAUGAAAAUAAAACCCAUAUGUAAAACAGACAUUGUAAAACAUUCAAAUUGGGCAUCAGUUUUAAUUUUAGAUAGUAAGUGGAUUUUAGGAAUACUUAAGAGGAGUUUUUUUUAUUGUUGUUGUUGUUUCAUUUUUCUUUAACUUUUUAAAAUUUGCAUGCAUAUCUGUGUCCCAUGUGCAAGCAAUGACUGUGGAAGGCAGAAGAGGGUAUGAGAUCCCCUAGAAUUGGAGUUAGAGAUGGUUGUGGCUGAUAUGUGGGUGAUAAGAGAGUGAACCUGGGUCCUCUGCAGGAUCACCCUUAACCACUGAGCCAUCUCUCCAUCCCUCAAAUCUUUUACUCUUUUCUCUUGAGAUGAAGUCUCUCAUCUCUCAGGCUGGCUGCUGGUCUGGAACUCAUGACAGAACCAGUAGUGAUGUGGACGUCCUGAUGCUGCCUGUUCUUCCCUCCGAGUGCUGAGAUCACAAAUGUCUGCAGAUCUGGGACAAGAACCCAGGGCUUUGUUCACUUGGAAAGCACUUAAGAACUCCAUUUUCACAGGAAUUCUCAGUUUCAGUUCUAUAUGGAUUGUUUGGUGAUUGACUUGGUCCAUCCUUUCUUAGCCCUCUAUGGGCUAAACUUAGCAAUGGUAAACAUGUCAUUGAUAGCUGAUUUAAAAUAGGAAGAAAAGAAAAGACAAGGGUAAUACAAUUGCAAACUGGAUAAUACAUUAGCUAGAAAAAUACACGGAUUUAUCUAGAAAGGAUCCCAAAGGAAAGGAGAAGCAGGAUCCUGUGCCUCAUGCCCAUCCCCUUCUGUCAUCAACACUUUUAGUUAAAGAUGUCAAUGGCCAUUGUAUCUCUAACAGAUCCCACCACGUAUUCACACUUAGUUUCUGCACUUCCCCACCUCAGAAUAAAAUUGGCCAGGAUUUGCUCAACCAACCCAGGCCUUAUACAAACCCUGGACAGUUGUCACCCUCUGGGAUAGCCCUACACUGGUGGGAUUGAUAGAUAAGAGCCUCACACAUACUAAGAAAGGACUGUGGGAUUAAGCAGUAACCCCAGUGGUAUUUUACUUUUUCAGUUUGAGGCAACAUCCCACGAAGUUGCCCAGAUUAACUUUGAACUUACUCUGUAGCCCAGGCAGCCCCUGAAUUUAUGCAACUUAACGACAAUAGAUUGAUUUCAACUGACAGUUCCAGGACACAGUCCAUCAUGACUGGGACGUCGGUUGAGAUGGCGGUAGCUUGAAGCAGCAGAUCACUUCACACUCACAGUCAGGAAGCAGAGAGUGGUGCACGCUGCUUCUCAGCUCACUUUUCCACUUACACAGACCAGGAUCCCAGCCAGGGAAUGGUGCCGCCCAUAGUGGACAUGUCUUCCCACCACUAUUAAUACUCAGCUAAUCCCCCAUAUGCAUACCCAGGGGCCCCUAUCCCAGGCCAUUCUAGACUGUACCACACAACGCUAACCAUCAUAACUUACUACAACCUUUCUUCCACUCUCUCAGGCCUUCCUGUUGGCUGGGUGUUGAGGCUUAUAACGCCAGGCUCAGAAAACAAAACAAAACAAAACAAAACAGAAAAGAAAACCAAAACUGAAACAAAACAAACAAAAACAAAAGGAGUAUCUCGAGAAAUACCCAGAAGUCCCUUGGCUUAUAUUUUUGUGUCUUGGCUCAAUGCCAUUGCUUUUCUUUACCAGAACAAUGCUACAAUGCUUAUUAUCAAUACAUUGUAAUAUUAUCAUAUAUAAAUUUUAGUUGCUAUAAUACUGCUAAAAUUCUAGUGGCUACACAUACACAGAGUAUGUGUGUACUCUGGCUAUUGCCUGAAGUUGGGGCAGAGAAGCUUAUGAGAGUCUCACACUCAUCUCUGAAACCAUGACCAUCCUUCAUUGCUUACUUCCAAAACAGUAACUGCAUUUAUGUUUGUGCACAUUUCUGGAUUGAAGGUUUGACAGUAAAACCUCCCCAAAUCAACAGUAAAUUGUUAAUUUGUUUCUAAGACAGUGUUGGGUUUUGCCUCCUGUCAGUGCCUCUAAUGAGUAAGCUAUUUAGUGUCUGCCCAAGGAUGGCUGAUUAGCAAGCAAAGAGAGUUGAGUGUCUUAAGAUCAAUUAAGGCACAAGACAGAGAAAGCAAACUGAAUAAUUAAGUGCUUGGUGCACUUCUACAUGUACUAUUUCAUUUGGUAGAUUUCAUUUAAAGCCAAUUCUAACCCAUUCCUGGAUAAAUGGUUAGCAUUCUGAAUUAAAUAUAUUCCGAUCUCUCCCAGCAACUGUCAAGAGGCCUGCCUUAUACCCAACUCAUUCUUUAAGAUCUCUCUUUCCUUUUUUUUUUUUAAACAAUGAAGUCUUCAAAGACAAUGCUUUAAGAAGACUGUGAAUGGGAAACUCAUUAGGCAGACUCUGCACCAGUCCUCAUUUGGUAUCUUAUUAUCUACUGCCUCUGACUUCCCGUGUCUUUAAGUCCAUGAUUGAUGGAUCAAUUAUUUUACUAUUAUUUUAGACUUUUCCCAUUCAAAACCAGAGAUGUCUAACCGGAAAGGAGCACAUUUGUGCUUUAUCCUCUGGCUUUAUGUCCUUCAAAGGCAUCUUUGUCUUACAGUCUGUCAACUAAAUCUUUUUUUAAAAAGUUGACAUUUAUCUCUCCUCUUUGCCUCUUUUUAAAGAACUAUUUUAUUUUUAUUCAUGUGUCUGUCUGUCUGUGGGCACCCACAAAGACCAUAAAGGUGGUGUGUGUUUUCAACCACUGAGCCACCUCUCCAGUCUCCCUCCCCAUUUUUUCUUUAAACAGUUAUGCCCCAAACCCUAGGAAUACAGGUCCUACACUUCGUCGCUUUUCGGUUCAGGCAUUCAACCCAAUGCUCAGAAUACAGCAAUAACAAUAAUUAUUUGUUGACUGAUAAAUAACUAAUUUGUUACUACCCAGUCCUGGUGGGCAGGACCCAAAGAACUUCUGGUCCUACUUCCCAGAGUUAUAAAUAUGUUGUUAACAUACAAAAUAGGAAUUAAGGUUGCUGAUAAAACAGACUCAACAUAGAAAAUAAAUGAGGCCAGAGGCAUUCAUAAAAGUUCAAUAGAUUAGCGAGAAGCAGGGUAGAGAAAUAGAGCCACCACUGUUUGCCUUGACUUUGGAGGAAGGCCAGCAGUCAUCGGAAGCUGAAAUAAGAAAUUAGAGUCUCCCCUCAAGCCUCUAGGAACUAACUCAACACCGUGGCACCAUGGAUGGAGCUUAGCUCACUGGACCUUUGUGUUACCCACAGACCUUUAACAGACAACUCUAAACUCUUGAUGAUGUGUUAAGACACAGACAGACAUCACACAUUUCCUUUAGAAGAGAAAUCUUACACAUCAGUUUAGGACUUCGUUUAAGUGAACUUCACCCAAGUAACGUUAUGUUUUCUGACAACUAGGGAAGAGCUCACUCACUUUUCCUACUUUCUGCCUUUCCUAUGUGGUACCAAGCCCAUAUUUAUAUAUCAAACAGGGAAAAAUCAUAUCCAUUAUUUUAACUUAGUUUCUUUAUGCCUUUGCAGUCAGUUAAGGGAAGACUAUGUAGCUGAAAAGAAAGCCUUCACACAGAGAGGUAUUUUAGUCUCAGAACACGUUACUUUUUUGUAAUUAUGUAUUUUAAAAUGGCUUACAGAGCAGUGGCUUCAUACAGGGCAUUGUCAAAUGUUCUACCCCAACACCAGACCUCCCAUCCCUCCUCCCACUUAAAUCUUUAACCCCUGACUCCCCAUCCCAUCUUCUUUCAUACUAUGAGGACAAAUUAUUUUUUUACCUACUAAAAUAACAUAUGAACCUAUCUGAGUAUGUCAGGAAAAGUAUUCCAUUUAAUUAUUGCCAAUAGAUUUCUCUUAGGGUUCAACUUUUAUAUCACCUUUGGUUAUUCCCUAGACAGAAUAAAAUAGUGCAGUUUGGGAAAGCAAAAUGAAAUUGAUCAUCACAGAUUGAUCAGGUGCAGAUUUCAAAUGAAACUGAUCAUCACUGAUAUUAGAUUUCAAAUGGUACGCCCACCCGAGCUAGCUCUGCUAUGAAAGGCUCAUCUCCUCAAGUAUAAGUGGCUGUGUUCCCUGUGGAGGUUUGAGUUUUAGACACAAAUUAAAGAUUUCCUGAGUAUUGGAACAGUAACUGUAAACAUGAUGCAACAACAAAGAGAACUCUUAAGGCUCACGUGAUUUUUCAAAUGUCCCUGGGGUAGUAGGAUGGCCAAGCAGGUAAAGGCUCUUGCCUGGCAAGCAAGCCUGGUGACCUGAGUUUAGUCAUCAGAGCCCACGUGAAAGUAGAAGGAGAGAACUGGUUCGUGGAGUUGUUCUGUGGCUUCCACCCUUGCCCCGUGGACAAGCCCACAUGCCAGUCUGAUGGAGCCCACUCUUUAGUUGAUGUUCCAUCUUCCCAAGUGUCUCAAGUUAACAACCAAGAGAAGCUAUCAUAGACGGCUUGGCAACUUGGAAGAGAACAUUGUUGCAGAGACGCAUCAGGCUCCACAGGAUCCAUUCUGGCAAUCCGCGAAAUCAAAAGUCUUUUCACAAUAACAGUAGUGAAUUACCACUUGCUCUCUCUGAUGUUCUCUCCCUUGGAGACUGGUUUGCCCCAUAGGCUACUGAGUUUCUGUUGUGGUGAAGUAUGGAAUCCAGAAAGCCGUGUGGGAAGCCCCACUGCCUUCUACCAGCUAGUCCAGAAAUUAUAGAGACGUGUUGCUGAUAAUGAUAUUUUUAUUGAUGAAAGAAGGGAUUUGCUCUCUUACCCAGGCAGGCCUUAUAGUGCCAUCUUCUUCUUCUGCCUCCCAAAUACCAGAAUUUUAGAUAUAAGCUGCUAUGAUAUUUUCUAAAGUUUAAUACAAGGUUACUUUACAUUAUUUUGCUGUCGAAAUAACUUUUAAAAAAAUAAGUGUUUGUAUUGACUUCUAACUUGUCUAUUUUUACUAUUUGAAAGGAAAUUAAGGAGACAUCUGAAAUAUGUUUUAUUUUGUAAGUGGGAAAUUUCAGUAAAUAUUAUAUAAAUACAGUCUGUAAAUGAGGAUUCAAUAACUCUUUAAGAGUUAUUGUCCUAAGUCGAGAGAAAGUUCAACCAACCUUUAUAAUGCUUGGUAUAAUAAAAAUUUAGAUCUUUGCAUUUUAUAAGAGACAGCCAGGAUAAAGCUGAGUUUAGGAUACCCUCUAACUUUUCAAAAUCGUAUUUUGACAGCCUAGCCAUGUUCUAGAAUGCUGUUUUAAGGGGAAAAAUUAAGGAUGUAAGGUAAUUUCAGAAUGUCACUGUACUGUUUUGCAUAAACAAGUAUGCAUGUAACAGUCUUAUUUUUAAUCACACGAAGAAGCUGCAGCAUCUUUUAAAAUAUUUGCAUUACCAUUUUAUCAGUAAAUAGCACAGUGCUUGAUAGAACGUGAGAGUGUUCCCUGAAGGGGCGUAGAAACAAUAUGGAGGACUUGUGGAGAGGGAACUGACAUAAAUAUUGAAUGACCUGUGUGCCUGCCAGAUGUGGGAUUGGGUCUGGGAGUAAUGUCAGAGCCAGAAAGUUAACUUUGUGAUAUGACACAGGCCUGGGCUGUCACUAGACACUGUAUUUGGUCAGUUCUGACUUCUGAACCUUCCCGGUGAGCUCCACCAUGGAAAGGAAUUCCCCAUGCAGAGUCCGCUGAGGAAGAGAGAGUUUUCUAGUUACUAAAUGAUAAGUAACACCAUAGCAACAAGGAUUUAAACCACGUUGUGUAAGGAAAGCACGAUAUGCAUGAUGGUUCAUCUUGUCAACUUGAUGGAAUUAUAGUCAACAUGGACACGGGGCUCUAAGGGAUGUUGGUGAGAGAUUUUUUUCUGGAUUAAGUUAAUUGACCUGGGAUGACCCUCUCUAAAUGACCCAGUUAGCUGGGGCCCAGACUGAAUCCAGAGGAGAAAGCAGUCUGAGGCCAGCAUCUCUCUGUCCCUGCUUCCUGACUGUGGCCACAGGUACCACACUGCUUCAUACUUCAACCAUCACGAUUCCACUGUUAUGCGAGCCAACCAUGAGCCAACGGGAGCCCUCCUUUCCUAGAGCUGCUGUGAUCUGGUAUUUUGUCAUAGCAACAAGGCAGGUAACUAAUACAGUAGACUGUUUAUGUCCACACAAUUUCCUUAUUUCCUUAGGAAAGAUUGAAUCUUUUUGAGAAUCACAUUAUCACCAACUCCUUUUAAGUUACCGUGCUUUAUAGUCAGUUUAUAAUAUCUCUAAGGAAAUUGUUGACCUGGUCAUUCAUAGCAACUAAUUACUAUUUCAAAUGGAUGGAUUGAUAAUACCAUAGGUACUUUAAUAUCAAUUUCCUCAUCUAAUCUUUUUAUGUGCAGACAUAUUAAUGUAGUGGAUCCCAUCUGACAGCCCAUUCAUUUCCUUCAAUGGCAAAAUGAAUAUUUUAUAUCUUUGCUAGACUUAAUGUUAUUGAUGCAAAGAAAAGCUUUCCCCCUAUUUCCUAGGGAUAUCUCAUAGACGAGUCCUUAAAAGAGAGAUUUAAGUUGAUAAGACAUUACUGGUAAGAGUGCCAUGUGGCCAGUGGAAGGGAAUGGAUGUGUGACCUUUUGAAAGAUUUGUUUUUGAUCAUGUGUGUUGUGGGUGUCAGGAGAUGCCUGGAGAGUUCAGAAGAAUGAGUUAUUUUCCAUGAAGCUGGAGUUAUAAUUCAUUGUGGACCACCUGCCAUGGGUCCUAGGAACCAAAACCAGGUCCUCCAUAAGAGCAGAAUGCACUGUUAACCACUGAGUCAUCUCUCUGCCUCAAAGCUUGACUUUUGAUGCUGUCUGUCCUUUAAAACUGGAUCCGUCAUUUAGUUCAUCACCAAUCUCCUAGGGGAACCACAUGGUUCUCUUAGAGGCCAGCACUACCAGGUUUACAAAUGAACUGGCAAGUUCAACAGAGACAUUGUCUGGCUUUGGCAAAGUUCUUGGCAGGAUACGAUACUAUCUGUAGCAUCGUUGACCUGUCAGCAUUGUGAAAGUAUUACCAGUAAAAUCUGCCUUCUAAACUUGAAGCACGAUUUAGCAGUAGAAGCCCUGUUGCCUGCAGUCAUUGGUAGACACUGCCUUAUAUCCAGGCUGUAUAAGAGACGGCUUUGAAGGGCUGAGGGUGAGAUUCAGCACUUACUCCUCUUCUGUGACCUGUGUUCAAUUCCCAGCACCAAUGUAGCAGCUCACAAACACCCGGAACCCCAGUCCCAAGGGAUCUGACACUUUCUUCUGGCCUCUUCAAGGAACCAUAUGCGCAUGGUACACAGGCAUACACGCAGGCAAAAUACCCAUAUACAUUCAUAAAUAAUAAAAAAGUCAAAAAUUAAAAAGAAGUAAACACAUCUUAUUUUCAAAAGGUGCCAGGGAAAAGCUUGGUAGUUCCACAUCUUUAAUCCCAGCUCCCAGGAAGCAGAGGCAAAUAGAUGUCUGUGGGUUCAAAACCAGCCUGGUCUACAAGGGGAGUUUAGGCCAGAUGGGGCUACAAGAAAAGAAAUGCUAUUGAGAGCAAAACAAAGGUUAGUUUUCACUUUGAGCCAUAGGCACGGUUGAUAUAUCUUGUUCUAGAAGGAUUUCAUAAGUUUACAUUUUCAUCCAUACAUAGAAGAAUGAGAGGAUAAAAAAGAGAAAGGAGGAGCAGGAGGGGGGAGAGAGAGAGAGGGAGAGAAAAGAGAGAGAGACAGACAGAGAGACAGACAGAGACAGAGAGACAGAGACAGACAGAGACAGACAGAGACAGAUAGACAGACAGAGACAGACAGAGACAGAAAGACAGAGACAGACAGAGACAGAUAGAGACAGACAGAGAGAGACAGAGAGACAGAGAGAGACAGAGACAGACAGACAGAGACAGACAGAGACAGAGAGACAGA
Non-coding RNA from Rattus norvegicus (Norway rat), 13685 nucleotides. NCBI's taxonomy places the organism in Eukaryota, Metazoa, Chordata, Mammalia, Rodentia, Muridae. The record is from RefSeq and is a predicted model, not a curated record.